UUUACUUUGCCGCCGGGUAAAGGUUAAUAAGUGUUCUAAACAGUCCGUUAGGCCUUAGAAGGGGUGUUUUUGAACACUUUUUUACAU
Molecule: non-coding RNA, 87 nt
Filed under: unclassified sequences
Source: RNAcentral